Molecule: ribosomal RNA, 467 nt
Filed under: uncultured bacterium
Lineage: Bacteria
Description: partial 16S ribosomal RNA
Rfam family: Bacterial small subunit ribosomal RNA
Source: RNAcentral
ACGAACGCUGGCGGCGUGCUUAACACAUGCAAGUCGAACGGAAAGGCCCUGCUUUUGUGGGGUGCUCGAGUGGCGAACGGGUGAGUAACACGUGAGUAACCUGCCCUUGACUUUGGGAUAACUUCAGGAAACUGGGGCUAAUACCGGAUAGGAGCUCCUGCUGCAUGGUGGGGGUUGGAAAGUUUCGGCGGUUGGGGAUGGACUCGCGGCUUAUCAGCUUGUUGGUGGGGUAGUGGCUUACCAAGGCUUUGACGGGUAGCCGGCCUGAGAGGGUGACCGGCCACAGUGGGACUGGGAUACGGCCCAGACUCCUACGGGAGGCAGAAGUGGGGAAUAUUGCACAAUGGGCGGAAGCCUGAUGCAGCAACGCCGCGUGCGGGAUGACGGCCUUCGGGUUGUAAACCGCUUUCGCCUGUGACGAAGCGUGAGUGACGGUAAUGGGUAGAGAGGCAGCGGCUAGGUAGGUG